This 253-nucleotide ribosomal RNA is filed under the name uncultured bacterium. Its description in RNAcentral is "partial 16S ribosomal RNA". It matches the Rfam family "Bacterial small subunit ribosomal RNA", at positions 524 to 776 of the family's 1533-position model. The record is from RNAcentral.
UACGGAGGGUGCAAGCGUUAUCCGGAUUCACUGGGUUUAAAGGGUGCGUAGGCGGGCAGGUAAGUCAGAGGUGAAAUCUCCGGGCUUAACCCGGAAACUGCCUUUGAUACUAUCGGUCUUGAAUAUGGUGGAGGUAAGCGGAAUAUGUCAUGUAGCGGUGAAAUGCGUAGAUAUCUGGAGGAACACCGGUGGCGAAGGCGGCAUCCUGGACCGGCAUUGACACUGAGGCGCGAAGGCGUGGGGAGCGAACGGG